GUGGGGAAUAUUGGACAAUGGGCGCAAGCCUGAUCCAGCCAUGCCGCGUGCAGGAAGACGCAUCUAUGGUGUGUAAACUGCUUUUGUACGGGAAGAAACACUCCCUCGUGAGGGAGCUUGACGGUACCGUAAGAAUAAGGAUCGGCUAACUCCGUGCCAGCAGCCGCGGUAAUACGGAGGAUCCAAGCGUUAUCCGGAAUCAUUGGGUUUAAAGGGUCCGUAGGCGGUUUAAUAAGUCAGUGGUGAAAGCCCAUCGCUCAACGAUGGAACGGCCAUUGAUACUGUUAGACUUGAAUUACAAGGAAGUAACUAGAAUAUGUAGUGUAGCGGUGAAAUGCUUAGAUAUUACAUGGAAUACCAAUUGCGAAGGCAGGUUACUACUUGUGGAUUGACGCUGAUGGACGAAAGCGUGGGGAGUGAACAGGAUUAGAUACCCUAGUAGUCC
RNAcentral lists this ribosomal RNA (445 nucleotides) under uncultured bacterium. RNAcentral's name for it is "partial 16S ribosomal RNA". It matches the Rfam family "Bacterial small subunit ribosomal RNA", at positions 354 to 796 of the family's 1533-position model. The record is from RNAcentral.